RNAcentral lists this ribosomal RNA (448 nucleotides) under uncultured Bacteroidota bacterium. RNAcentral describes it as "bacterial SSU rRNA". It matches the Rfam family "Bacterial small subunit ribosomal RNA", at positions 361 to 806 of the family's 1533-position model. The record is from RNAcentral. Lineage: Bacteria; Pseudomonadati; Bacteroidota.
AUAUUGGUCAAUGGGCGGAAGCCUGAACCAGCCAUGUCGNGUGCAGGAUGACGGCCCUAUGGGUUGUAAACUNCUUUUUUACAGGAAUAAUUGUAUCCANGUGUGGGUAUUUGAAUGUACUGUAUGAAUAAGNAUCGGCUAACUCCGUGCCAGCAGCCGCGGUAAUACGGAGGAUUCGAGCGUUAUCCGGAUUUAUUGGGUUUAAAGGGUCCGUAGGCGGGNUUUUAAGUCAGUGGUGAAAUCCCGGAGCUUAACUCCGGAACUGCCAUUGAUACUGAAGGUCUUGAAUUNAGUUGAGGUGGGCGGAAUACGUUAUGUAGCGGUGAAAUGCAUAGAUAUAACGUAGAACACCGAUUGCGAAGGCAGCUCACUAAGCUAAUAUUGACGCUGAUGCACGAAAGCGUGGGGAGCGAACAGGAUUAGAUACCCUGGUAGUCCACGCNGUAAA